GGGGCUGGGGCUCAGUGGUAGAGAAUCUGCUUGGCGUGCUGAAUUUUCCAGGUUCAAUCCCCGGCAUCUCCA
This 72-nucleotide transfer RNA is filed under the name Sphaerodactylus townsendi. RNAcentral's name for it is "tRNA-Ala". It matches the Rfam family "tRNA". From Rfam's summary of the family: Transfer RNA (tRNA) molecules are approximately 80 nucleotides in length. Lineage: Eukaryota; Metazoa; Chordata; Lepidosauria; Squamata; Sphaerodactylidae. The record is from RNAcentral.